CGGAUGGAAGCAAUAAACCUUAGCGGCGGACGGGUGAGUAACGCGUGGGUAACCUGCCUCAUACAGGGGGAUAACAGUUAGAAAUGACUGCUAAAACCGCAUAAGCGCACAUUGUCGAGUGACAGAGUGUGAAAAACUCCGGUGGUAUGAGAUGGACCCGCGUCUGAUUAGCUAGUUGGUGAGGUAACGGCCCACCAAGGCGACGAUCAGUAGCCGGCCUGAGAGGGCGACCGGCCACAUUGGGACUGAGACACGGCCCAAACUCCUACGGGAGGCAGCAGUGGGGAAUAUUGCACAAUGGGGGAAACCCUGAUGCAGCGACGCCGCGUGAGUGAAGAAGUAUUUCGGUAUGUAAAGCUCUAUCAGCAGGGAAGAAGAAAGACGGUACCUGACUAAGAAGCCCCGGCUAACUACGUGCCAGCAGCCGCGGUAAUACGUAGGGGGCAAGCGUUAUCCGGAUUUACUGGGUGUAAAGGGAGCGUAGACGGCUGUGCAAGUCUGAAGUGAAAGCCCAGGGCUCAACCCUGGGACUGCUUUGGAAACUGUGGAGCUAGAGUGCUGGAGAGGUAAGUGGAAUUCCUAGUGUAGCGGUGAAAUGCGUAGAUAUUAGGAGGAACACCAGUGGCGAAGGCGGCUUACUGGACAGAAACUGACGUUGAGGCUCGAAAGCGUGGGGAGCAAACAGGAUUAGAUACCCUGGUAGUCCACGCGGUAAACGAUGAAUACUAGGUGUUGGAGAGCAAAGCUUUUC
RNAcentral lists this ribosomal RNA (751 nucleotides) under uncultured bacterium. RNAcentral describes it as "bacterial SSU rRNA". It matches the Rfam family "Bacterial small subunit ribosomal RNA", at positions 73 to 841 of the family's 1533-position model. The record is from RNAcentral.